Long non-coding RNA from Maniola jurtina (meadow brown), 1569 nucleotides. RefSeq lists it as uncharacterized. NCBI's taxonomy places the organism in Eukaryota, Metazoa, Arthropoda, Insecta, Lepidoptera, Nymphalidae. The record is from RefSeq and is a predicted model, not a curated record. The transcript is spliced from 2 exons.
UAAGUUCCUUUUUAUAAUAUAUCGCCAUCAUGUCGCAUGUCUGUGUAAGCCAUUCAAAUAUUAUAUUUAUACACAGUGUAAAUUUUGGUUAUUACCAAAAUUUUGCAUUGUUCUUAUUAUGGAGUGAAUAAAUGUGGUAGGUAUGUAUACUUUUUUAAGUUCGUUGUAACAAAUCAAAUAAACAUAAACCAUAUACCAACCAAUAAAAUAACAGAAUUAAAGUCCUGAGAGUUGAAUACGUAACUAUUUUUAUUGAUUACCUCCGAAAUAUUGCCGAUAAAAAUAUAUAUUAAAUAGUUUUAUAGUAACAAUCUCUCGUCUGCACUAGGCCUUAAUUGCGACGAUUACAAUCAAUAUAAAAAGUUACGUGAUCAAAUACAGAUGUAAACAGAAAAAACGACAUUAAUACUGUAACCUUAACCUCUAAAUAACAAUCCUCCACAGUACAUUGUUCACUAAUCAAAAUUUAACUAACCACUUAAUUUAAUAAUGAAUAAUGUAAGAUUAAUUCAUUUUCUCUAUGGUAUAUUUACGUUAACCGAAAACAUUGUUCUUUAAGACUGGCCGCACAUUGGUACUAUCACCACAAAAUACUCAAAAUAUACUUUGUCGUAAGGGGCGCGUUGUCGUAAGUAUAUUUCUCAGGUCAUGUAACCAAGUGAGCCCGAUCUGCUAUCUAAUGUUAGAUAGACUUCUAUUAUAUUAGACGCUAGAUCUCCAGGAAAGUGCCCUUGAAAUCUUCCAGCUUUUUUAAUUUUUAUUUGGGAACAACAACUUACAUUAAAGAAAUUAUUAUUUAAUCGUUUAUUAAACUGACAUACCACUUUCUUAUAGAAUAAAAUAGUAACCAAUGUGCGGUCAGCCUGUAAGAUAAAUUAAGUUCAUUUACUUAUACAUUUCAAAUAACUAUGUACAUACAAUAAAGGUAUUACAAAGGAAAUAUUCGAUAUAUAUACAUUUUGUUCAUACAAUACCUAGGUAUUUCAUUGAAAACAUUCUGUAUAAUAUUAUAAAUUACAAAAUAUAAUCAAGGGUGUUUAGAUCCAUUUCACUCGUGACAUUAUUGUGUUUCGACUCUCAAAUUAUAUCAACGUUGGUGAAAUGUAAAUUCUCAUACAGUCACUGAACUAUAAGUUAAAUAUUUAUUAAAACUAACUGUAUAUCCUUUUCGCAUAAGAACAUCCAAAUGAAUUUAUUUUUGUCCUAUAAAAAUCCCAGCUUAUUUCAAUAGGACUUAGUUUUAGCUUACAUACAAGAGUCCUAUAUUAAUAAUUGUUAUUACAUAUUUGAUGUUCUUUUUGGAAUGGUCUUCAAUAGAAAUAUAAACAAACCAUUUUGCAAUAAAUAGUAAUAAAUACACCUAAAUUGCACUAGCUAAACAUAUUGUUUAUUAUUAUUAAUCUUAACAUUAUUAUAUCUUUACAGAUAGGUAGUUUGUAGUGUUUAUAUGAUAUAUCCGUAAAAUAAUUAUUAUUUAAUCCUCCCGCAUAAUUGUGUGAUCUUAAGCAUACAUAAAUGCAUUACUUUUGAAAAGUGUAAAAUCAUACUGAACAUACAUUUAACAAAUUU